Molecule: transfer RNA, 85 nt
Filed under: Pseudomonadota bacterium
Lineage: Bacteria; Pseudomonadati; Pseudomonadota
Description: tRNA-Leu
Rfam family: tRNA
About the family: Transfer RNA (tRNA) molecules are approximately 80 nucleotides in length. Their secondary structure includes four short double-helical elements and three loops (D, anti-codon, and T loops).
Source: RNAcentral
GCCGAAGUGGCGGAACCGGCAGACGCGGCGGACUCAAAAUCCGUUGUCCCCAAAGGACGUGUGGGUUCGACUCCCACCUUCGGCA